Molecule: long non-coding RNA, 970 nt
Organism: Cyprinus carpio carpio
Lineage: Eukaryota; Metazoa; Chordata; Actinopteri; Cypriniformes; Cyprinidae
Source: Ensembl
UUAAUGCCUGUUAUAAAGUGUAUUCUGUCUUCUUUAUUAAUCAGAUGAGCGCCAUAUUUUUACUCUCUGUAUUACAUCGGUCAUCCGAGGCUGUCUUUGAGUUUCAUUGUGUUUAACUAAACGAACACAGCUGCUAACUGGGGUGAUUAAACUCUUAUCUGUCACGUGACGUGCUAUAGACCUGGGAUCCGUUUUAUAAUCAUUUCAGGUUCAAAGAUGUAAGUUGUAUUUGUAGUAAAAUCAUGGUAACCAUGACACCUACAAUAGUAGGUAAAACCCAGUAAACAAGACAUUUACCAUGUGUUUUUUUUUUAUUUUUUUACCACAGUAACUGUAGUUUUACUAUGGUAUAGUAAUAGCACAAUAAUCACCAAAAUGACUGAGGUUGUACCACUGUAAUGGUAGUGUUUUAAUGUGCUUUUAUAUGACAUAUUUCACAGUAAUCACAUUUACUGUACCAUGCUUGUAAUACCUUUUUAAUGUAAAUAAAAAACAUUUUUCCCAUCUUGCAGUUCAAUUCAUAUUAGUUUAUAUCUUAAAUAUUUUGCCCACAGAUCACUAUUAACAUUCUGUAUAUAAUUCUGUUUAAUUUCUUUCCCCUUGUAUUUAUUUUUUAGCUGAAAAGACAUAAAGGAAUCAGUCACCCCAGUCGUGUUUGUGGAGAGGUAUUCCUUCAGAAAUGGAGAAGACAGAAAGCUGCAGAGGCAGGAUUGUUUGCAGAUAAUGCUGUUCUUCUUUUUCAGAAGUUUUUGGUGAGCCAACUCUCACAAACCUUCCUAAAAAAACUAAAAGAGCUAUUACUGAGUCUCGGCUAAUCUUGCCAUGGUCAGCUCUUCCCAGGUACAUUUGUUUACUCAUCAAAUGCUCUGGUCUGAAUCUUACUUUAAAUUAACUUAAUUAUAUGUUUAAUGAGCAAUAUUAAUUGCACACAUAGUAAGAUUAUCUUGUUUCACAGAAGAGAAGGAAGACC